UAGGUUACGUCAAGACCCAAGGUUAUUAACCUUGGGCUUUUCUUCUCUACUGAAAGUGCUUUACAACCCUCGGGCCUUCUUCACACACGCGGUAUUGCUGGAUCAGGGUUGCCCCCAUUGUCCAAUAUUCCCC
RNAcentral lists this ribosomal RNA (133 nucleotides) under uncultured bacterium. Its description in RNAcentral is "partial 16S ribosomal RNA". The record is from RNAcentral.